Molecule: unclassified non-coding RNA, 510 nt
Filed under: leaf metagenome
Description: partial contains internal transcribed spacer 1, 5.8S ribosomal RNA, and internal transcribed spacer 2
Rfam family: 5.8S ribosomal RNA (bases 190-343)
Source: RNAcentral
GCGGAAGGAUCAUUACAGCGAAGCGGCGCGAGCCGCCUUUCGAACCACCGCGUACCGAACCCCCCACGUUGCCUCGGCGGGCGCCGGGCGCCCCGCGCCCGCCCCGCCGAACGGCCCCCCAGCAAGACCCCUUCCGUCGAGAUGGCGUCGUCUGAACCCUCCGGGGAAAACGUUUGAAACGAAAAACACAACUUUCAACAAUGGAUCUCUUGGCUCCGGCAUCGAUGAAGAACGCAGCGAAACGCGAUAGCUAGUGUGAAUUGCAGAUUUCAGUGAAUCAUCGAGUCUUUGAACGCACAUUGCGCCUCUUGGUAUUCCUCGAGGCAUGCCUGUUCGAGCGUCGUUACGCCCCUCAAGCGCGAGCUUGGUGUUGGGGACCGCCCCUGAGACACGGCGGCGGCCCCGGAAUGCAUCGGCGGUGCUGGUCCCAGCCCGGAGCGCAGCAGACAUGCGGCUCCGCGGGCGGGGCCGGCGCCCGCCGGACAAACGACGAGACCCCUCCACAAGUCG